RNAcentral lists this ribosomal RNA (253 nucleotides) under uncultured bacterium. RNAcentral's name for it is "partial 16S ribosomal RNA". It matches the Rfam family "Bacterial small subunit ribosomal RNA", at positions 524 to 776 of the family's 1533-position model. The record is from RNAcentral.
GACGUAGGGGGCGAGCGUUGUCCGAAGUUACUGGGCGUAAAGCGCGCGUAGGCGGUGCGUUAAGGGAGGUGUGAAAGGCCCCGGCUCAACCGGGGGAGCGCACUUCCGACUGGCGCACUUGAGGGCAGGAGAGGGGCGUGGAAUUCCUGGUGGAGCGGUGAAAUGCGUAGAGAUCAGGAAGAACACCCGUGGCGAAGGCGGCGCUCUGGCCUGUGUCUGACGCUGAGGUGCGAAGGCGUGGGGAGCGAACGGG